This 253-nucleotide ribosomal RNA is filed under the name uncultured Nitrosomonadaceae bacterium. RNAcentral's name for it is "partial 16S ribosomal RNA". It matches the Rfam family "Bacterial small subunit ribosomal RNA", at positions 524 to 776 of the family's 1533-position model. The record is from RNAcentral. Lineage: Bacteria; Pseudomonadati; Pseudomonadota; Betaproteobacteria; Nitrosomonadales; Nitrosomonadaceae.
UACGUAGGGUGCGAGCGUUAAUCGGAAUUACUGGGCGUAAAGCGUGCGCAGGCGGUUAUGUAAGCCAGAUGUGAAAUCCCCGGGCUCAACCUGGGAAUGGCAUUUGGGACUGCAUGGCUAGAGUAUGGCAGAGGAGACUAGAAUUCCUGGUGUAGCAGUGAAAUGCGUAGAUAUCAGGAGGAAUACCGAUGGCGAAGGCAGGUCUCUGGGUCAAUACUGACGCUCAUGCACGAAAGCGUGGGGAGCAAACAGG